RNAcentral lists this ribosomal RNA (1223 nucleotides) under metagenome. Its description in RNAcentral is "bacterial LSU rRNA". It matches the Rfam family "Bacterial large subunit ribosomal RNA", at positions 1714 to 2925 of the family's 2925-position model. The record is from RNAcentral.
UGGGCAAAUUUCCCCCGUACGUUCGCAAUAAGGGGGGCCUCUGGUGGUGAGCUUAAUCGCAAAGCUGCUGGAGGCCGCAGAGAAAUGGCUCCUCCAACUGUUUAACAAAAACACAGGUCUCUGCUAAGUCGAAAGACGAAGUAUAGGGGCUGACGCCUGCCCAGUGCUGGAAGGUUAAGGGGAGAGGUUAGGCGCAAGCCGAAGCUUUGAGCCGAAGCCCCAGUGAACGGCGGCCGUAACAAUAACGGUCCUAAGGUAGCGAAAUUCCUUGUCGGGUAAGAUCCGACCCGCACGAAUGGCGUAAUGAGAGGAGCACUGUCUCAACGAGGGACUCGGCGAACAUUGAAGGACGUGUGAAGAUACACGUGACCCGCAGCGGGACAAAAAGACCCCGUGAAGCUUUACUACAACUUGCCAUUGAGUUAGGGCUAAACCUGUGUAGUAUAGGUGGGAGGCUUUGAAGCUGGGACGCCAGUCUCGGUGGAGCCACCGUUGAAAUACCACCCUGGUUUAUUCUUGGCUCUAACCUGUCGCCGUUAUCCGGCAUGGGAACAGUGGCUGGUGGGUAGUUUGACUGGGGCGGUCGCCUCCGAAAGCGUAACAGAGGCGCCCAAAGGUUCCCUCAGGCUGAAUGGAAACCAGCCGUUGAGUGUAAAGGCACAAGGGAGCUUGACUGCAAGACCAACAAGUCGCGCAGGGACGAAAGUCGGGCUUAGUGAUCCCACGGUUCAGAGUGGAAUGGCCGUGGCUUACCGGAUAAAAGCUACUCCGGGGAUAACAGGGUAGUCUGGUCCAAGAGUUCAUAUCGACGACCAGGUUCGCCACCUCGAUGUCGGCUCAUCACAUCCUGGGGCUGGAUAAGGUCCCAAGGGUUGGGCUGUUCGCCCAUUAAAGUGGUACGUGAGCUGGGUUCAGACCGUCGUGAGACAGGUCGGUCUCUAUCCGCUGUGGGCGUAAGGGAUCUGAGAGAAGCUGCCCCUAGUACGAGAGGACCGGGGUGGACGGACCUCUAGUGUGCCAGUUGUUCUGCCAAGAGCAUUGCUGGGUAGCUACGUCCGGCAGAGAUAACCGCUGAAAGCAUCUAAGUGGGAAACUCGUCUCAAGAUUAGAUCCCUCAUCCGUAUGGAGUAAGACCGCUAGAAGACUACUAGUUUGAUAGGCGGCAGGUGUAAGCGCAGUAAUGUGUUCAGCUUAGCCGUACUAAUGGUCGAGGGCUUACGUUU